GAUGCCUGAGCAGAGCCGGUUGGGAGCAAGGAGGAGCUCGUGUGGAGCUUUCCGUCGUCGACGUCACGCCGCGGAGCCGUCCGAGCAUACGAGCAUCGCCGUAGUUUCACGAGGAGGCCGGGCGAGGAAGUGUUUCCGUCGUUCUCGACGCCGUGCCGGAAUUGGAGUCGCUGUUAGAGGUGGGUAGCUCUCUUUCCUCCAUGGAUUUCUUCUCUACUUCAAGCUCCAUUGAAUCCGAGCAUUGUGCUGUUUUCGCAGAAUUUCAGUGUCGACCGUCGGUGUUUCGGCUCGUUUUCCGCGCAGGAGCAUCGGAACGUGACGCGACUUGAUUCGUUGGAACCGAGACUUCGAGACGAAUCCAUAGGAUCCUUACUCGCCCGAUUUGGAGAAGUUCUCUGUGUAGGAAUGUCGAAACGCGACGAAAUUUGGCGUGCUAGAUUCGCGACUUCGAGACGAAGAUUCUGAGCCCAAGAUCGCGAUUUUUGGAGCAGGUUCCAGCGUCGACGUUUCGUAUUCUGGCCCGUUCUCUGCGUAGGAGCGUCGGAAUUCAGCGAAACCUGGGCCAUUGGAUUCGUGACUUCGAGACGAAGCUUCAGGACCCUUGUUUGCUGAAUUUGGAUAAGCAGGAGAACCGGGGACUUCGACGGACCAGCGAGGGAUCAUUUUGGAUCCGGGCCACUUUCUUCGCUGCCAGGAGUUGCUUGAGAGAGCCACAGGUGUCGGCUGCUGCAUCUUCCGCCGACCA
This is a long non-coding RNA of Ananas comosus (pineapple), 745 nucleotides long. RefSeq lists it as uncharacterized. The record is from RefSeq and is a predicted model, not a curated record. The transcript has 6 exons. NCBI's taxonomy places the organism in Eukaryota, Viridiplantae, Streptophyta, Magnoliopsida, Poales, Bromeliaceae.